GGGUCGAUGCCCGAGCGGUUAAUGGGGACGGACUGUAAAUCCGUUGGCGGCGCCUACGCUGGUUCGAAUCCAGUUCGACCCA
RNAcentral lists this transfer RNA (82 nucleotides) under Scoliosorus ensiformis. RNAcentral describes it as "tRNA-Tyr". It matches the Rfam family "tRNA". Rfam says of the family: Transfer RNA (tRNA) molecules are approximately 80 nucleotides in length. Lineage: Eukaryota; Viridiplantae; Streptophyta; Polypodiopsida; Polypodiales; Pteridaceae. The record is from RNAcentral.